AAAAACUUAGUUAACAUAUAACCCCAGCUUGUCAAGCUGAAGUAACUUUCUAUAGUAGUUUUUA
Molecule: transfer RNA, 64 nt
Filed under: Glyptelasma sp. 1 ZG-2020
Lineage: Eukaryota; Metazoa; Arthropoda; Thecostraca; Poecilasmatidae
Description: tRNA-Asp
Source: RNAcentral